This 85-nucleotide transfer RNA is filed under the name Candidatus Harrisonbacteria bacterium CG10_big_fil_rev_8_21_14_0_10_49_15. RNAcentral's name for it is "tRNA-Leu". It matches the Rfam family "tRNA". From Rfam's summary of the family: Transfer RNA (tRNA) molecules are approximately 80 nucleotides in length. Their secondary structure includes four short double-helical elements and three loops (D, anti-codon, and T loops). The record is from RNAcentral. Lineage: Bacteria; Candidatus Harrisoniibacteriota.
GCCCGGGUGGUGAAAUUGGUAGACACGCAGAGUUUAAGCCUCUGUGAAGAAAUUCGUGCCGGUUCGAGUCCGGCCCCGGGCACCA